CCCGCUGAACUUAAGCAUAUCAAUAAGCGGAGGAAAAGAAACUAACAAGGAUUCCCUUAGUAACUGCGAGUGAAGAGGGAAAAGCUCAAAUUUAAAAUCUGGCAGUGUUUCGCUGUCCGAGUUGUUACCUAGAGAAGUGUAACCUGUGCUGGACCGAGUACAAGUUUCCUGGAUACGGAACAUCAUAGAGGGUGAGAAUCCCGUCCUUGACACAGGCCCCCAGUGCUUUGUGAUGCACUCUCGACGAGAGCGAGUUGUGUUGGGAAUGCAGCUCUAAAUGGGUGGUAAAUUCCAUCUAAAGCUAAAUAUAUGGCGAGAGACCGAUAGCGAACAAGUACCGUGAGGGAAAGAUGAAAAGAACUUUGGAAAGAGAGUUAAACAGUAUGUGAAAUUGUGUGAAAGGGAAACGUUUGAAGUCAGUCAUGUUGGCUGGGGAUCAGCCUGACAUUUAUGUUGGGUGUACUUCCUGGUUGACGGGCCAACAUCAGUUUUGACUGCCAGAAAAAGGCCAAGGGAAUGUGGCUCCUUUGGGUGUGUUAUAGGCUCUCGGUAGUAAGUGGUGAGUAUGGGCAUGAGGAAAGCAAGUGCACCGAAAGGCAGGGUAUAGCACGCAUUCGCGCUGAGGAUGCUGGCAUAAUGGCUUUAAGCGACCCGUCUUGAAACACGG
This 667-nucleotide ribosomal RNA is filed under the name uncultured fungus. RNAcentral describes it as "eukaryotic LSU rRNA". It matches the Rfam family "Eukaryotic large subunit ribosomal RNA", at positions 24 to 664 of the family's 3401-position model. Lineage: Eukaryota; Fungi. The record is from RNAcentral.